ACUCCUACGGGAGGCAGCAGUGGGGAAUUUUGGACAAUGGGCGAAAGCCUGAUCCAGCAAUGCCGCGUGCAGGAUGAAGGCCUUCGGGUUGUAAACUGCUUUUGUACGGAACGAAAAAGCUUCUCCUAAUACGAGAGGCCCAUGACGGUACCGUAAGAAUAAGCACCGGCUAACUACGUGCCAGCAGCCGCGGUAAUACGUAGGGUGCGAGCGUUAAUCGGAAUUACUGGGCGUAAAGCGUGCGCAGGCGGUUAUGUAAGACAGAUGUGAAAUCCCCGGGCUCAACCUGGGAACUGCAUUUGUGACUGCAUGGCUAGAGUACGGUAGAGGGGGAUGGAAUUCCGCGUGUAGCAGUGAAAUGCGUAGAUAUGCGGAGGAACACCGAUGGCGAAGGCAAUCCCCUGGACCUGUACUGACGCUCAUGCACGAAAGCGUGGGGAGCAAACAGGAUUAGAUACCCUUGUAGUCCUGAGU
Molecule: ribosomal RNA, 474 nt
Filed under: uncultured bacterium
Lineage: Bacteria
Description: bacterial SSU rRNA
Rfam family: Bacterial small subunit ribosomal RNA
Source: RNAcentral